GCGAUCAUACCAUCACUAAUGCAUCGGAUCCCUACAGAACUCCUAAGUUAAGCGUGCUUGGGCAGAUUAGUACUAGAAUGGGUGACCGCCUGGGAAGUUCUCGUGUUGCACAUA
This 114-nucleotide ribosomal RNA is filed under the name Zingiber officinale. The record is from RNAcentral. Lineage: Eukaryota; Viridiplantae; Streptophyta; Magnoliopsida; Zingiberales; Zingiberaceae.